This 641-nucleotide long non-coding RNA is filed under the name Homo sapiens (human). Its description in RNAcentral is "non-protein coding lnc-NT5E-5:1". Lineage: Eukaryota; Metazoa; Chordata; Mammalia; Primates; Hominidae. The record is from RNAcentral.
GAGAGUAUGACAGAAUUCUUCAAGUUAGACAGUGGUAAACAGCUGAACAUGGACAUCCCCCCAACCCUCAUGAAAACAGCCUGACUUUGAACAAGAGAAGGAAAUCACCAAUGAUGAGGCAUUGGCAUGACCAAGGCUGAUCUCACAAAUAAUUUGGGAACUAUUAACAAGUUCUGUCAUAAAGCAUUUAUGGAGGCUCUUCAGGCUGGUGCAGACAUCUUCAUGAUUAGGCAAAUAGUUUGGUGUUUACUUUUAUUCUGCCUAUCUGGUGACUGAUAGAGUGGUUGUGAUCAUAAAGCACAAUGAUGAUGAACAGUAAGCCUGGGAAUCUUCUGCCAGGUAUUCCUUUACUGUAUAUGCUGACCAUGUUGAGCUCAUUGGUAGUGGUACCAAAGUGAUCCUCUGCCUUAAAGAAGACCAGACAGAGUACUUAUAAGAGAGUUGCGUCAAAGAAAUAGUAAAGAAGGACUUGAAGUUCAUAGGCUAUUCUAUUACCUUUUAUUUGGAAAAGGAAUAAGAGAAAUAAAUCACUAAUGAUGAGGUUGAGGAAGAGAAAGGUGAGAAAGAAAAAGAAAAAGAUGAUGAAGAAAAGCCCAAGAUUGAAGAUAUGGCUUCAGAUGAAGAGGAUGACAGUGGUAUGG